RNAcentral lists this ribosomal RNA (1372 nucleotides) under uncultured bacterium. RNAcentral describes it as "bacterial SSU rRNA". It matches the Rfam family "Bacterial small subunit ribosomal RNA", at positions 28 to 1381 of the family's 1533-position model. The record is from RNAcentral.
GAUGAACGCUGGCGGCGUGCCUAAUACAUGCAAGUCGAGCGAACGGACGAGAAGCUUGCUUUUCUGAUGUUAGCGGCGGACGGGUGAGUAACACGUGGAUAACCUACCUAUAAGACUGGGAUAACUUCGGGAAACCGGAGCUAAUACCGGAUAAUAUUUUGAACCGCAUGGUUCAAAAGUGAAAGACGGUCUUGCUGUCACUUAUAGAUGGAUCCGCGCUGCAUUAGCUAGUUGGUAAGGUAACGGCUUACCAAGGCAACGAUGCAUAGCCGACCUGAGAGGGUGAUCGGCCACACUGGAACUGAGACACGGUCCAGACUCCUACGGGAGGCAGCAGUAGGGAAUCUUCCGCAAUGGGCGAAAGCCUGACGGAGCAACGCCGCGUGAGUGAUGAAGGUCUUCGGAUCGUAAAACUCUGUUAUUAGGGAAGAACAUAUGUGUAAGUAACUGUGCACAUCUUGACGGUACCUAAUCAGAAAGCCACGGCUAACUACGUGCCAGCAGCCGCGGUAAUACGUAGGUGGCAAGCGUUAUCCGGAAUUAUUGGGCGUAAAGCGCGCGUAGGCGGUUUUUUAAGUCUGAUGUGAAAGCCCACGGCUCAACCGUGGAGGGUCAUUGGAAACUGGAAAACUUGAGUGCGGAAGAGGAAAGUGGAAUUCCAUGUGUAGCGGUGAAAUGCGCAGAGAUGUGGAGGAACACCAGUGGCGAAGGCGACUUUCUGGUCUGUAACUGACGCUGAUGUGCGAAAGCGUGGGGAUCAAACAGGAUUAGAUACCCUGGUAGUCCACGCCGUAAACGAUGAGUGCUAAGUGUUAGGGGGUUUCCGCCCCUUAGUGCUGCAGCUAACGCAUUAAGCACUCCGCCUGGGGAGUACGACCGCAAGGUUGAAACUCAAAGGAAUUGACGGGGGCCCGCACAAGCGGUGGAGCAUGUGGUUUAAUUCGAAGCAACGCGAAGAACCUUACCAAAUCUUGACAUCCUUUGACAACUCUAGAGAUAGAGCCUUCCCCUUCGGGGGACAAAGUGACAGGUGGUGCAUGGUUGUCGUCAGCUCGUGUCGUGAGAUGUUGGGUUAAGUCCCGCAACGAGCGCAACCCUUAAGCUUAGUUGCCAUCAUUAAGUUGGGCACUCUAAGUUGACUGCCGGUGACAAACCGGAGGAAGGUGGGGAUGACGUCAAAUCAUCAUGCCCCUUAUGAUUUGGGCUACACACGUGCUACAAUGGACAAUACAAAGGGCAGCGAAACCGCGAGGUCAAGCAAAUCCCAUAAAGUUGUUCUCAGUUCGGAUUGUAGUCUGCAACUCGACUACAUGAAGCUGGAAUCGCUAGUAAUCGUAGAUCAGCAUGCUACGGUGAAUACGUUCCCGGGUCU